RNAcentral lists this ribosomal RNA (639 nucleotides) under Triticum aestivum (bread wheat). Its description in RNAcentral is "partial small subunit ribosomal RNA". Lineage: Eukaryota; Viridiplantae; Streptophyta; Magnoliopsida; Poales; Poaceae. The record is from RNAcentral.
AUGAUUGAGUGUGCCCUCACUGUGAUCAAGGAACCACUUGUUGAGGAGACCGUUAAAAUCCGGGUGCCACCCUCAGACUUGGCAGAUAAUUUUGGAAAAUGGAGAGACACGGGGGAGGAAGCAGACGUGACAUUCAAUGUUAGAGGGGAGACUUUCCAUGCGCACAAGCUCGUGCUUGCGAUGCGGUCACCGGUCUUCAAGGCACAGCUCUAUGGACCGAUGGGAGACAGGACGGCGCGGAACAUAACCGUGGAAGAUAUGCAGCCUGAUGUUUUCAAGGAAUUGCUUCACUUCAUCUACUCGGAUUCAUUGCCUUCACCGGAGAACCCCGAUGAGGAGAAUGGCAACAUGGUUAAGCAUUUACUGGUGGCUGCAGAUCGCUAUGCCAUGGAAAGGAUGAAGGUGAUGUGCGAAGCUAGUCUCUGCAAAAGUCUUACUGUCGAGACUGUCGCGGCCACGUUAGCUCUGGCUGAUCAGUAUCAUUGCAGCGGGCUCAAAGAUGCUUGCAUUGAAUUUGCCAUCUCUUGUAAUAGAAUGGGUGGUGUGGUUGCAAGCCAAGGGUAUGGGCACUUGAAAAGAUCAUGCCCUGCUGUCUUAGGAGAUAUCCUGGAGAGAGUAACGAAGUCUCCCAGAGUUUAG